Molecule: ribosomal RNA, 807 nt
Filed under: Triticum aestivum (bread wheat)
Lineage: Eukaryota; Viridiplantae; Streptophyta; Magnoliopsida; Poales; Poaceae
Description: partial small subunit ribosomal RNA
Source: RNAcentral
UGCCCUUCUGAAUCUGGACUCUACAAGAAGCAAUUGGAUCAGAAAGCUCUGAUUGUCGGUGUGUAUGUAGAUGAUCUCAUCAUAACAGGAGGCAGUGAUCGAGCCAUCGAAGAUUUCAAAAGGCAAAUGAAGUCUAAGUUCAGUAUGAGUGAUUUGGGAAUGCUAAGGUACUACUUGGGGAUAGAAGUGAAGCAAACAAAGGAUGCAAUCACUCUUUGUCAAUCAGCAUAUGCAGCUCGAAUCCUUGAGAAGAUGGGAAUGUCGAUCUGUAAUCCUAUGCAUACACCAAUGGAAGCCAGACUGAAGAUGAGCAAAAACAGCCAAGCAGAGGCUGUUGAUGCAACCCAAUACAGAAGUGUAGUGGGAAGUUUGAGGUACCUGAUUCAUACUCGCCCAGACUUGAGUUACUCUGUUGGUUUUGUCAGUCGCUUCAUGGAGAAACCUACAGCAGAACACAUGAGUGCUGUGAAGCACAUUCUAAGGUAUGUGAAAGGAACAUUGAAUCUUGGAUGCUACUAUAGUCAAGGUGAGACGAGCAAAUUUCAGCUCAUUGGGUACUGCGACAGUGAUCUAGGUGGUGACAUUGAUGAUCGUAAGAGCACUACAGGGGUGUUGUUCUACCUCGGAAAGAAUCCACUGACUUGGGCAUCUCAAAAACAGAAAGUUGUGGCUAUGUCCUCGUGUGAAGCUGAGUAUGUGGCAGCUGCAUCUGCAGCUUGUCAAGGAAUUUGGUUGGCCCGGCUCCUAGGUGAAUUACUUGAUCGCGAGCCGAAAAAAUGGACACUGAAGAUCGACAACCAAUCAGCA